AGAGUUUGAUCCUGGCUCAGGACGAACGCUGGCGGCGUGCCUAAUACAUGCAAGUAGAACGCUGAAGAGAGGAGCUUGCUCUUCUUGGAUGAGUUGCGAACGGGUGAGUAACGCGUAGGUAACCUGCCUUGCAGCGGGGGAUAACUAUUGGAAACGAUAGCUAAUACCGCAUAACAAUGGAUGACCCAUGUCAUUUAUUUGAAAGGGGCAAAUGCUCCACUACAAGAUGGACCUGCGUUGUAUUAGCUAGUAGGUGAGGUAACGGCUCACCUAGGCGACGAUACAUAGCCGACCUGAGAGGGUGAUCGGCCACACUGGGACUGAGACACGGCCCAGACUCCUACGGGAGGCAGCAGUAGGGAAUCUUCGGCAAUGGGGGCAACCCUGACCGAGCAACGCCGCGUGAGUGAAGAAGGUUUUCGGAUCGUAAAGCUCUGUUGUAAGUCAAGAACGAGUGUGAGAGUGGAAAGUUCACACUGUGACGGUAGCUUACCAGAAAGGGACGGCUAACUACGUGCCAGCAGCCGCGGUAAUACGUAGGUCCCGAGCGUUGUCCGGAUUUAUUGGGCGUAAAGCGAGCGCAGGCGGUUUGAUAAGUCUGAAGUUAAAGGCUGUGGCUCAACCAUAGUUCGCUUUGGAAACUGUCAAACUUGAGUGCAGAAGGGGAGAGUGGAAUUCCAUGUGUAGCGGUGAAAUGCGUAGAUAUAUGGAGGAACACCGGUGGCGAAAGCGGCUCUCUGGUCUGUAACUGACGCUGAGGCUCGAAAGCGUGGGGAGCGAACAGGAUUAGAUACCCUGGUAGUCCACGCCGUAAACGAUGAGUGCUAGGUGUUGGAUCCUUUCCGGGAUUCAGUGCCGCAGCUAACGCAUUAAGCACUCCGCCUGGGGAGUACGACCGCAAGGUUGAAACUCAAAGGAAUUGACGGGGGCCCGCACAAGCGGUGGAGCAUGUGGUUUAAUUCGAAGCAACGCGAAGAACCUUACCAGGUCUUGACAUCCCGAUGCUAUUUCUAGAGAUAGAAAGUUACUUCGGUACAUCGGUGACAGGUGGUGCAUGGUUGUCGUCAGCUCGUGUCGUGAGAUGUUGGGUUAAGUCCCGCAACGAGCGCAACCCCUAUUGUUAGUUGCCAUCAUUCAGUUGGGCACUCUAGCGAGACUGCCGGUAAUAAACCGGAGGAAGGUGGGGAUGACGUCAAAUCAUCAUGCCCCUUAUGACCUGGGCUACACACGUGCUACAAUGGUUGGUACAACGAGUUGCGAGUCGGUGACGGCAAGCUAAUCUCUUAAAGCCAAUCUCAGUUCGGAUUGUAGGCUGCAACUCGCCUACAUGAAGUCGGAAUCGCUAGUAAUCGCGGAUCAGCACGCCGCGGUGAAUACGUUCCCGGGCCUUGUACACACCGCCCGUCACACCACGAGAGUUUGUAACACCCGAAGUCGGUGAGGUAACCUUUUGGAGCCAGCCGCCUAAGGUGGGAUAGAUGAUUGGGGUGAAGUCGUAACAAGGUA
This 1506-nucleotide ribosomal RNA is filed under the name metagenome. RNAcentral's name for it is "bacterial SSU rRNA". It matches the Rfam family "Bacterial small subunit ribosomal RNA". The record is from RNAcentral.